ACACUUUUCAUUGUAAGGAGCUAUAACG
This 28-nucleotide non-coding RNA is filed under the name Mus musculus (house mouse). The record is from RNAcentral. Lineage: Eukaryota; Metazoa; Chordata; Mammalia; Rodentia; Muridae.